RNAcentral lists this ribosomal RNA (389 nucleotides) under Chrysochromulina sp. RNAcentral's name for it is "partial small subunit ribosomal RNA". It matches the Rfam family "Eukaryotic small subunit ribosomal RNA", at positions 582 to 975 of the family's 1831-position model. Lineage: Eukaryota; Haptophyta; Prymnesiales; Chrysochromulinaceae. The record is from RNAcentral.
AUUCCAGCUCCAAUAGCGUAUAUUAAAGUUGUUGCAGUUAGAACGCUCGUAGUCGGAUUUCGGGGCAGUCCGACCGGUCUGCCGAUGGGUAUGUACUGGUUGGAGUGUCCUUUUUGCCGGAGACCGUGCCUACUCUUAACUGAGCGGGGGCGGGAGACGGCACUUUUACUUUGAAAAAAUCAGAGUGUUUCAAGCAGGCAGCUCGCUCUUGCAUGGAUUAGCAUGGGAUAAUGAAAUAGGACUUUGGUGCUAUUUUGUUGGUUUCGAACACCGAAGUAAUGAUGAGAAGGGACAGUCAGGGGCACUCGUAUUCCGCAGAGAGAGGUGAAAUUCUCAGACCCGCGGAAGACGAACCACUGCGAAAGCAUUUGCCAGGGAUGUUUUCAUUG